GAUGAACGCUAGCGACAGGCUUAACACAUGCAAGUCGAGGGGCAGCACAGGUAGCAAUACCGGGUGGCGACCGGCGCACGGGUGAGUAACGCGUAUGCAACUUACCUAUCAGAGGGGGAUAACCCGGCGAAAGUCGGACUAAUACCGCAUGAAGCAGGGGUCCCGCAUGGGGAUAUUUGCUAAAGAUUCAUCGCUGAUAGAUAGGCAUGCGUUCCAUUAGGCAGUUGGCGGGGUAACGGCCCACCAAACCGACGAUGGAUAGGGGUUCUGAGAGGAAGGUCCCCCACAUUGGUACUGAGACACGGACCAAACUCCUACGGGAGGCAGCAGUGAGGAAUAUUGGUCAAUGGCCGAGAGGCUGAACCAGCCAAGUCGCGUGAGGGGUGAAGGUUCUAUGGAUCGUAAACCUCUUUUAUAAGGGAAUAAAGUGCGGGACGUGUCCCGUUUUGUAUGUACCUUAUGAAUAAGGAUCGGCUAACUCCGU
RNAcentral lists this ribosomal RNA (484 nucleotides) under uncultured bacterium. RNAcentral describes it as "partial 16S ribosomal RNA". It matches the Rfam family "Bacterial small subunit ribosomal RNA", at positions 28 to 506 of the family's 1533-position model. The record is from RNAcentral.